CAAUAGCGUAUAUUAAAGUUGUUGCAGUUAAAAAGCUCGUAGUUGGAUUUCUGGUUGAAGCGACCGGUCGGGCGUUGAUUCGUCUGCACUGGAGUCGGUUUUGGCCAUCCUCUAGGAAAGUGCGUCUGGUAUUAAGUUAUCGGGCGUAUGAUCCUGGUCUUUUACUGUGAAAAAAUUAGAGUGUUUAAAGCAGGCCUUCGCCUUGAAUACAUUAGCAUGGAAUAAUAAGAUAGGACUUUGGUCUAUUUUGUUGGUUUCUAGAGCUGAGGUAAUGAUUAAUAGGGACAAUUGGGGGCAUUCGUAUUAACGCGUCAGAGGUGGAAUUCUUGGAUUGCGUUACGACGAACUACUGCGAAAGCAUUUGCCAAGGAUGUUUNCAUUG
This 382-nucleotide ribosomal RNA is filed under the name uncultured eukaryote. Its description in RNAcentral is "partial 18S ribosomal RNA". It matches the Rfam family "Eukaryotic small subunit ribosomal RNA", at positions 592 to 975 of the family's 1831-position model. The record is from RNAcentral.